Molecule: long non-coding RNA, 1241 nt
Organism: Bactrocera oleae (olive fruit fly)
Lineage: Eukaryota; Metazoa; Arthropoda; Insecta; Diptera; Tephritidae
Source: RefSeq, a predicted model, not a curated record
UGUAUUUACGAACUUUUUUCAACGCGAAAUUCACCUGUGAAUUUCAUGUCGAACUCUAUUGCUGGCAAUUGUAGUCGAUAGAAGCAGGCUGCUGAGCAAAAAUCAUGAAAAAAUUACUUUAUUCAGUCGAAGAAAAUUAAAAAAAAAGAAAAAGACAAGAAAUAAGAAAAGCACACAAAAAUUACUUACAGAGCUUUCAGUUGAGAAAAAAGGCACAAGAGCGAGGAAUAGGAUGAAAUGGAAAAAAAUGUUACCAUUCGUAUAAAAUUCUUGGUUUAACAAAAAAUGACGUGUGAUUUCCAAUGAGGCUUUUACAGAUGGAUCUUAGUUUUGGGGCUUACAAAAUCCAACUCGUGCAAGAAUUGAAACUGAAUCCAUCGCGUCGAACGGUCGGUGAAUGGGCCCGAAACGAGGUGGCCACCGAUCCCGAUUUUCACAAGAAUAUUUUGUUCGGCGAUGAAGCGCACUGUUGGUUGAAUGAGUACGUUAGUAAACAAAAUUGUUGCAUUUGGAGUGGUGAUUUAUUAUUAUUACUUAUGUAAUCACUGAGGUACGUAAAUAAGCUGCUGACGCCUAAAGUAAGUAAUUUAGUAUCAGUUAUAAAUGUAUACCAUGGGGUAGAAUAGUUCAUACCAGAAACACUAUUAGAAACGACCUUGUUACCUCAUUCGAUGAACAAGAUUUAUAAAUUAAUUGUAUCAGUAGAUUAUCUUAUAUAAUAACAAACAAUAAAUCACUAUUAUUGUCCUCGGGUAUAAACCCUGAUUAGAAAUACUGCCAAAGUUGUACGACAUAUCGCUGAAACGUUAUUUUUUUAAUGGAAAAACGAAUUGGACAUUGUCUCCUGAGAAUGACAAAUACAAGUUAACACAUAGCAAUAGCUGGAUAAGUGGCUAAGACCGCUAAGUUGUAGGAACUAAGCUAUGAGCGCCCAUUUCCUUUUUCUCAGAUUGAGAAAGUGGCUACUAGGAAAAACAUUUCAUUGAAAUGAGGAGGUUAAGUUGGAAAUAAAUUUCUUUUUGGAAGACCUUGAAGUUUCACACCAUAGAACCGGCCAAGGACAUUUCACAUCUUGUAUUCGCAAUCGACUUAAUGGUAAACAUAUUUUUCAACAAUUUCAAUAAUUCAAUAUGGAAAGCAAUAACGGGCGCAAACGAAUUUCCUUAAAUUAUUGCGUUUUUAUUAAAAAAUGCUACAAUUUCUUGACAUUCCAGUUAAUAAAAAGCUUUCGCAAACAAUAC